Octodon degus (degu) is the source of this 3327-nucleotide long non-coding RNA. RefSeq lists it as uncharacterized. The record is from RefSeq and is a predicted model, not a curated record. The transcript has 2 exons. Lineage: Eukaryota; Metazoa; Chordata; Mammalia; Rodentia; Octodontidae.
UUAUAUGUUUCUUUAUCUAUCCUGGCUCAGGGGGUCACUGUCAGCGGCCUGGGAAGGCCCAGCCAGCCUCUUUGUGGACGGUACCAGUCAGAGGACUUGGAGCCUCAUGCACAGAGGGUCCUUGCACAGGGCUGGCUAGCAGCAGCCGUGUUCUUAGGAAGCCAACUGAAGUGGAUGUUCAAGGGGGCGAUUCAUCAUUUCCCCAACCAUGGCAUGUCACUGCUGAAACCUCUGUUCAGUACUGUCCUAGGUACUGUUGCCUUUGGUCUUUCAGAGUAACUGGCAUAGGGCCUGCGGUUCUCAUACACUGGGCUUCUGGGUGGUGAAAGGAGGAAUGUGUACAUGUGGACAUACCUGUGGAGUGAUUUUGCUUAGCCCCAGAUCAGGGUGGGGAGAAAAGGCUGAGGGGAGGAUACACAGGUGACUGUCACGGACGCGCCACUAGGCAGCAUGCUGGGUGAUUGGAACACAGCUCCCGAAGAGGGGGAGCUGAUCCUUGAGCACAGCCUCAUAUUCUUAUCUUGCUUACAGUUUUUAAAGAGAUUAAUUGCCUCUACUUUUCCUCCGUAAGGCCCCACCCACUUAGGGCACUGGCUUUGGAUUAAGUGGUGACGAAAGACCCUUACUUAUGGGCUCCAUGAGGCCCACCUCCUCUUGGUCCUGGGCUUCCCUCAUGCGUGCCCCUCAGGGACAGCGCCCUGACUGCUGUUGUGUCUUGAAUGUGGCCUACCUUCUGGUUGGUCUUCAGCUUGGCCUCACCUGGGCUGCUGCUGUCUCCUGGGGCUGCACCCUUGGUUGGACAAGACUUGCACCUAUUUUUCUGGGAACCAUGCCUGCUUCGAGGGCAGUUUGGGAGGUGACUUGGAUGAAGUGUUGGGUUAGGAUGUGUGGGUGAUUUAUGAGAAUGGAGGGGGCAAUGUGUGAAGUCUAGAGGUUCAAAUCCAUUGACUGUUUGAAGGCCUUAUCCAUUCCUCCCCUUUAACCCCAUGCCUAUCUGGUGGUUCCUUUUCUUCUCAAGCCAGUGAGAUGCCAGGAGUGUAUCUGUUAAGGGUGGCAGUCGUACAGCGCUUAAUGUGUGCCGGCCACAGUGUUCAGGGUUUGCAUGCAUUAUCUCUUCUAACCCACAAACCCUUUGAUGACAUGGUGUGGUCCCCAUUUUGCCAAAGAGGAAGCAGGCUCUGUCAUGGAGGCUGAGAGCAGCGGCUGAGAAGACAGACUUCAGGCUCCUGGUCUGGGGCUCCUGGCCUCCUGCUCCUGCCUAGCUGAGUCCAAGACUGGUUGUAAGAUUUUAUGAGAUUAUGCAUGAAAACAUCUAGCACAGUGCCUGACACAUAGUAAGUGCGCAAUAAAUAAUUGUUAUUCUCAUUGAGCUCAGGCGGUCAUUUAACCCACACUGGUGUAAUGCCAGAAAAUGGGUUCCCAGCCACCACCCUGCGUACAGCCUGGUGUUCACGGUCUGGAAAGUGACCACACCAUCCCUUCGAGAGAAGCAGUGCAGUUGUAAUGCUAUCUGCCUCACACAGCAGUGGGGAAGAGGAGGGGAGGGUGCACAGGGUCUGCUCGGUGGGCGUGGCCUGCCCCAGCUUGGCGUCCACUUCCGGUGCGUGUGUCUGAUCACCCCACUGCUGUUUUCACUUCCUGGGGUGACUGUACUCUGUGGAUGGAAAAGGCCUGUGACUUGCUCUGGGCCCCACUCCCCCUCCCAGGCCGACCAAGGGCCAUGCUUUGUGCACGCAGCUCAGGAGCCUGCGGUUCCCUGUACAGGCAAAGGAUCUCAGUGACCUUCUAGAGAAGCGGAGAAAAUGGACCUGUUCUGAAGCAGACCACCGAUCAGGAGGCUGGAGUCUGUCCACUCCCUUGCCCCUAGCUUGGGGUCUUCUGUUCUUUCUCUUUUUCUUUCUUAAAGUAGUAACAACAUAGAGUGUGAGAUCGAAAGCCGAGGACAGGUGACAUUCAGUUUUUCUGUUGGUUUGUAAGUGAGCUACAAGUGGGAGUGAUUUGUGAGUGAGGAACGAACAGGCUGUAGACAGUGCAAAUGUUUGUCUGGCUGGAGAUUGGGAAGCGUAUGUGAGAAGGAUUGUAUUGCAGGAAAGGCCCUGGCUGACAGAGCCUCUGGGUUCUUAUGGCAGUGGGUAAUGGUGUAAGUUAGAACUACUGCCGUGACUGUGGACUUUCCUGCGUGUUCAUGGAACCCGGAGGCCUACUGCUGGAGUCUAAAGCACCAUUUCUCCCCUACUAUUUAUUACCAAAUAAUGUCAGGAGUCAGAGAAGUGGGAGAAGGUUUCUAGUGAGGCCUGCAAGGACAGCCUCAUCUGGGCAGGCCUGCCUGGACGGGGGUCUUCAGCCUGGCGCUUCCUUUCUGCCUCCCUCACUGUGACCCAGGCAGCUGUGUGUGGUGGCACAUGCUGUAACCCUGGUACUUGCAAGGCUAAGGCAGGAGGAUUGCUGUGAGUUUGAAGCCAGCCUGGGCCAUAUAGCAAGAUCCUGUCUUAAAAACUAAGCGACCCAGGCAGCUUUUAUCUAGAGAGAGGGAGGCUCCUCACAGGCUGGGGAUGGAACGGGGACUCUGGUUCUGCAGCGCCUUUCCUCACUCAUCAGGUCUGUAUGCUGCUUUGCUGGCUUUUAGCAACACCAAAAGGGAAGGGAGUUCUGCAUGCUUCCUAGCAGGCAGGAAGCACACAUGUGUUUCUUGACAGUGCCCUCGAGGCUGCACUGACCUUUGGUAAGGGCUUCUGCCUCCUCUUGCAGGCUGGGGUGUGGGGCUGAUUACAGAGGGAAGGAGCCGAGCAGAUAGCAGGGCUGAGGGACUCGAGGUGAGAGAACAGUGAGGGGCUGAGAGGCAGUGACUUGUCUGCCCAGGAGUUCUGAGAAGCCCUGCGGCGGCAGUGGGAGGGUGGGCAGGACUGGGGACCUGGGAGCCCCUCACUGAGGACACACCUGAGGCCAGCGGAGUCUCUGGUGAGUGUGAGGGUGAGGCAGUGGGCAGGGAGCCCACCCCAGGGGACUGAGAGCUCCCAGAUGGCCUCCCAGGGUCAUGCUGGUGCAACCUUGCCCUGCUGCUACAUGGUUUUCCUCCCCUCAGCCCUUUGGGUUUCCCCAGGUGGGCGUGUGCUUGUGUGCUCUGCUGUGCCCUUUACUCACUGUGGUGUUUUUUAAAUCAGUGUUUUCGCCACAGCAGACCCUUCCUGUGCACCCUGAUUAAUGUGCAGCAGUACUCAUAGGCCCGUUUCAAUGCAUUGUAAGAACAUGGUAUACUGUACGGGAAAGCAUUUACUGUUUAUAUACCCGAAUGUUCCUACUACAGAAAUAAACGUGUAUUGAAUUCUA